RNAcentral lists this ribosomal RNA (253 nucleotides) under uncultured bacterium. RNAcentral describes it as "partial 16S ribosomal RNA". It matches the Rfam family "Bacterial small subunit ribosomal RNA", at positions 524 to 776 of the family's 1533-position model. The record is from RNAcentral.
UACAGAGGGGGCAAGCGUUGUUCGGAAUUACUGGGCGUAAAGGGCUCGUAGGUGGCCAACUAAGUCAGACGUGAAAUCCCCAGGCUCAACUUGGGAACUGCGUCUGAUACUGGAUGGCUUGAAUUCGGGAGAGGGAUGCAGAAUUCCAGGUGUAGCGGUGAAAUGCGUAGAUAUCUGGAGGAAUACCGGUGGCGAAGGCGGCAUCCUGGACCGAGAUUGACACUGAGGAGCGAAAGCUAGGGGAGCAAACGGG